AUACUUACCUGACGGGGAAGUAAAGCCUGAUCAAGGAGGGGUUUCUUCCAGAGUGAGGCCCUCGCAUUGCACUUCGCUUGGGCUGACCUCUGCGAUUGCUACAAGUGUGUAGUAACUCGACCGUACAAUUUCUGGUAGUGGGGGCCUGCGUCCGCGCUCGCCCCCU
RNAcentral lists this small nuclear RNA (166 nucleotides) under Clytia hemisphaerica. Its description in RNAcentral is "U1 spliceosomal RNA". It matches the Rfam family "U1 spliceosomal RNA". Rfam says of the family: U1 is a small nuclear RNA (snRNA) component of the spliceosome (involved in pre-mRNA splicing). Its 5' end forms complementary base pairs with the 5' splice junction, thus defining the 5' donor site of an intron. There are significant differences in sequence and secondary structure between metazoan and yeast U1 snRNAs, the latter being much longer (568 nucleotides as compared to 164 nucleotides in human). The record is from Rfam by way of RNAcentral. Lineage: Eukaryota; Metazoa; Cnidaria; Hydrozoa; Leptothecata; Clytiidae.